CCCUCGGAGGCAGUGGUGAUUAUCACCCCCACCUCCUACAGGGGAAGACACCACGACUACUGGGGUCAAUACUCUGUCCCGAAGCACACAGCCAGCGAGACACAGAGCCAGAGCUUGAAUGCUGGGAUCUCUAAACUCUCGGGUAUCGAAGACCACCACACAGUCCAAACUGUGGGCUUUCUUAUCAAACCAAGAGUCCGCAUUUCACUCAGGGUCAAGUCCGCUCCAACCGGCACCUCUCAGCUGGUCCCAGCUGGCCAGGCCAGCACCCGCCUCCUCAGGCCACAGCGGUCAGGUCCGGGUCUGCCACCAGCCCCGAGACCCAAGUGGACACAGACUGAGGGGCCGAGGCGGGAAGCCGCAGCCCGCGCGAGACCUGAGCGCGCGACCCACGCGGGCUGCCGGGCUCCAGCCCCGACGUCGCGGGCCGGGCGCGCGCAGACCCGGGGCCGACGCCCCCGCCGCGCGGCCCCAGGCCCGCCCCCGCCCCUCGGAGGUUUUCGCUUUCGCUUUCCUGCCGCGGUCGUUGAGGAAAAUAAAGCGGCCGUGACCAGAGCCGGCGCAGUUGCGAUCCGGCCGAAGGGCUCGGGGGUGCGGCGGCGGCCCGCUCGGAACCGGGGUCCCCAGGGCCGCGGCCCGCGCCGGGCGAGAUGGCAGCACGCCCUGGACCUCCUUGCAAGGGAGGCCGCGCUGAGGCCGGACAGCAGAGAAAUGAGAAAAUGGACUCCCUUCUCCUGGAGAUGUGAAUGCCAGCCACCAGCUGUGGCUCCUGUAAGGCCCACCCAGCAAGGAUUCUGUGACAUCUCUGCAUCGCGUCCUGAGGCGUCCUUUGCAGGGAAGUUGAUGACCCCUUGUCCUUUUCACUCGGGCCUGUGCUGGCUUGGCCCUGUGAUGUUUGUGUUUUGGGCUCACUGUGUGGAAUCACAGAGCUGCAUGUUGGGUCCUGAUCUCACCAAACUCCAGGGCUCUGUGGAAGUUUACUGUGGUUGGAAGAGGGUAGAUUAUAUAAGUCAAGCUUGCCUUUAG
Molecule: long non-coding RNA, 1026 nt
Filed under: Oryctolagus cuniculus (rabbit)
Lineage: Eukaryota; Metazoa; Chordata; Mammalia; Lagomorpha; Leporidae
Description: lncRNA (ENSOCUG00000031093.1)
Source: RNAcentral